RNAcentral lists this unclassified non-coding RNA (178 nucleotides) under uncultured Eurotiomycetes. RNAcentral describes it as "sequence contains ITS1". Lineage: Eukaryota; Fungi; Ascomycota; Eurotiomycetes. The record is from RNAcentral.
CUGAGUUAGGGUCCUCUGGGCCCGAUCUCCAACCCUUUGUUUAACCACUUUGUUGCUUUGGCAGGUCCGCCUUUCGGGGCCGCUGGAGGGGUUUAGUCACCUCUGGUCCGUGCUUGCCAGUAGCCAAAUCAAAUUCUUCUUAAUAAUGAAGUCUGAAUUCUUAAUUAAAAUUUAAUUA